This 1852-nucleotide ribosomal RNA is filed under the name Salmonella enterica subsp. enterica serovar Paratyphi B var. L(+) tartrate +. RNAcentral describes it as "partial 23S ribosomal RNA". It matches the Rfam family "Bacterial large subunit ribosomal RNA", at positions 1086 to 2925 of the family's 2925-position model. The record is from RNAcentral. Lineage: Bacteria; Pseudomonadati; Pseudomonadota; Gammaproteobacteria; Enterobacterales; Enterobacteriaceae.
UAAACAACCAGGAGGUUGGCUUAGAAGCAGCCAUCCUUUAAAGAAAGCGUAAUAGCUCACUGGUCUAGUGAUUUUGCGCGGAAAAUAUAACGGGGCUAAAGUAAGUACCGAAGCUGUAGACUUAGUUUACUAAGUGGUAGGAGAGCGUUCUAUUUGCGUCGAAGGUAUACCGGUAAGGAGUGCUGGAGCGAAUAGAAGUGAGCAUGCAGGCAUGAGUAGCGAUAAUUAAUGUGAGAAUCAUUAACGCCGUAAACCCAAGGUUUCCUACGCGAUGCUCGUCAUCGUAGGGUUAGUCGGGUCCUAAGUCGAGUCCGAAAGGGGUAGACGAUGGCAAAUUGGUUAAUAUUCCAAUACCAACAUUAGUGUGCGAUGGAAGGACGCUUAGGGCUAAGGGGGCUAGCGGAUGGAAGUGCUAGUCUAAGGUCGUAGGAGGUUAUACAGGCAAAUCCGUAUAACAAUACUCCGAGAACUGAAAGGCUUUUUGAAGUCUUCGGAUGGAUAGAAGAACCCCUGAUGCCGUCGAGCCAAGAAAAGUUUCUAAGUUUAGCUAAUGUUGCCCGUACCGUAAACCGACACAGGUGGGUGGGAUGAGUAUUCUAAGGCGCGUGGAAGAACUCUCUUUAAGGAACUCUGCAAAAUAGCACCGUAUCUUCGGUAUAAGGUGUGGUUAGCUUUGUAUUAGGAUUUACUCUGAAAGCAAGGAAACUUACAACAAAGAGUCCCUCCCGACUGUUUACCAAAAACACAGCACUCUGCUAACUCGUAAGAGGAUGUAUAGGGUGUGACGCCUGCCCGGUGCUCGAAGGUUAAUUGAUGGGGUUAGCAUUAGCGAAGCUCUUGAUCGAAGCCCGAGUAAACGGCGGCCGUAACUAUAACGGUCCUAAGGUAGCGAAAUUCCUUGUCGGUUAAAUACCGACCUGCAUGAAUGGCGUAACGAGAUGGGAGCUGUCUCAAAGAGGGAUCCAGUGAAAUUGUAGUGGAGGUGAAAAUUCCUCCUACCCGCGGCAAGACGGAAAGACCCCGUGGACCUUUACUACAGCUUGACACUGCUACUUGGAUAAGAAUGUGCAGGAUAGGUGGGAGGCUUUGAGUAUAUGACGCCAGUUGUAUAUGAGCCAUUGUUGAGAUACCACUCUUUCUUAUUUGGGUAGCUAACCAGCUUGAGUUAUCCUCAAGUGGGACAAUGUCUGGUGGGUAGUUUGACUGGGGCGGUCGCCUCCCAAAUAAUAACGGAGGCUUACAAAGGUUGGCUCAGAACGGUUGGAAAUCGUUCGUAGAGUAUAAAGGUAUAAGCCAGCUUAACUGCAAGACAUACAAGUCAAGCAGAGACGAAAGUCGGUCUUAGUGAUCCGGUGGUUCUGUGUGGAAGGGCCAUCGCUCAAAGGAUAAAAGGUACCCCGGGGAUAACAGGCUGAUCUCCCCCAAGAGCUCACAUCGACGGGGAGGUUUGGCACCUCGAUGUCGGCUCAUCGCAUCCUGGGGCUGGAGCAGGUCCCAAGGGUAUGGCUGUUCGCCAUUUAAAGCGGUACGCGAGCUGGGUUCAGAACGUCGUGAGACAGUUCGGUCCCUAUCUGCCGUGGGCGUAAGAAGAUUGAAGAGAUUUGACCCUAGUACGAGAGGACCGGGUUGAACAAACCACUGGUGUAGCUGUUGUUCUGCCAAGAGCAUCGCAGCGUAGCUAAGUUUGGAAAGGAUAAACGCUGAAAGCAUCUAAGCGUGAAGCCAACUCUAAGAUGAAUCUUCUCUAAGCUCUCUAGAAGACUACUAGUUUGAUAGGCUGGGUGUGUAAUGGAUGAAAGUCCUUUAGCUGACCAGUACUAAUAGAGCGUUUGGCUUAUCUUUAAUAAAGCAU